CCUACGGGCGGCAGCAGUGGGGGAUAUUGCACAAUGGGGGGAACCCUGAUGCAGCGACGCCGCGUGGGUGAAGAAGCGCCUCGGCGCGUAAAGCCCUGUCAGCAGGGAAGAAAAUGACGGUACCUGAAGAAGAAGCCCCGGCUAACUACGUGCCAGCAGCCGCGGUUAUACGUAGGGGGCAAGCGUUAUCCGGAUUUACUGGGCGUAAAGGGGGCGCAGACGGGGAUGCAAGCCAGGAGUGAAAGCCCGGGGCCCAACCCCGGGACUGCUCUUGGAACUGCGUGGCUGGAGUGCAGGAGGGGCAGGCGGAAUGCCUGGUGUAGCGGUGAAAUGCGUAGAUAUCAGGAGGAACACCGGUGGCGAAGGCGGCCUGCUGGACUGCAACUGACGUUGAGGCCCGAAAGCGUGGGGAGCGAACAGGAUUAGAUACCCCGGUAGUC
RNAcentral lists this ribosomal RNA (440 nucleotides) under uncultured bacterium. Its description in RNAcentral is "partial 16S ribosomal RNA". It matches the Rfam family "Bacterial small subunit ribosomal RNA", at positions 338 to 795 of the family's 1533-position model. The record is from RNAcentral.